Long non-coding RNA from Panicum virgatum (switchgrass), 1075 nucleotides. RefSeq lists it as uncharacterized. Lineage: Eukaryota; Viridiplantae; Streptophyta; Magnoliopsida; Poales; Poaceae. The transcript has 2 exons. The record is from RefSeq and is a predicted model, not a curated record.
GCCAUGGCGGCAUGGUGCCCAUUGCUCCCAACAGCAGGAUGCGCCGGGCCGGAGCGCCACCAGUCCCAAUCGGCCGUGGGGUCGGUGGGCCAAGGCACCAUCGCCCCCAUCUACAGGAGUGUCAUCGGGCCGGGCGGCAGGCUCGGUAAUGGCUGGAGCCUGCGAAGGGUGGCGCCGUGACGGCCUACGUGGGAGCUGUGCGAGAAUGCUGUAGCGCAGCCAGGUUGGCCGGUUGUGGCUCGGCAAUGGCGGUAAUUGCAGGCGACCGAAGACAGGUGAGGCGCUAUCCUUCUUCCCUAAAUUUCCUAUUUUCCCCUUUGAUGAAUAGAACUGUGCAAUAUAUACGUGUGAUUAAUUAGUCAUUUAAUAUGGAUUGAUGGAUCUACAGGAUCCAUUUGUGUUUAUCAUCUGAGGAUUAAUUAGUCCCCUACUAUGCCGAGCACGAGCACAGGUGAGUCCUCUCCCAUGACGCAUUCCCAUCAUGGAAAGGGCAGCAAUUUAGGCACACAAUCCCCUCGUGUUCUUUGCUCCUAAUUCGACAUGUAAAGAAAAUGCAACAUGGGAUAGCCCAACUUGUUGUCACUACAAAGCAUUAUAUUUGCGUCACCUCAGAUCUAAUGGAAAGGCAAGAAUGGAUCAUGGCUGAAGGGACCAAAGGUAAUUGUUCGCUGAAUCCAAACCAGUUCAACACCAAGUUGUAAUUUAGUGGAAUGCUCAUAGUAGAAAACCUCUGCUACUGUGUCAAUUCUAUUCAGCCUUGCUUACUACUAAACCACAAUUUCAAGAUAUCAUACAAGGUGAAGAGCCAAACUCUGCGGAUGAUAUUGUGAAGUUCUUUUUUGGUACAGUUUAUCAAAUUGCUGAGCAUAGGCAUCCUUUUAGCUGGUUCAUGCCCAGAAUUUACUAAGUUUUGUGUCAGUUAGAUGGUCAACAUAUGUGACAAAGUGACAUGUUAUGAAAUGGUUGUAAUAGCACAUGAUGUAUAUAUAUGAUGUAAUUUUGAAUGCUUCGAUUGAACAAUUCUACAGGGAUUGUCAAAUAUAUGUUUGCGUUAUCAUAAUAAUUUCUUUGUUUA